Hordeum vulgare subsp. vulgare (domesticated barley) is the source of this 529-nucleotide long non-coding RNA. RefSeq lists it as uncharacterized. NCBI's taxonomy places the organism in Eukaryota, Viridiplantae, Streptophyta, Magnoliopsida, Poales, Poaceae. The record is from RefSeq and is a predicted model, not a curated record. The transcript has 2 exons.
GGAGGAAGGAGAAGCUUUAUUUGUGCUAGAAUAAAAAUCCACACACAAACCUGCAUCCCACGACUGGAGUUGCCGUCGGACCAGCAGCAGGAGACCGAGCCGUCAUGGCCAUGGAGCACGGCCUCCACUACGCGCCGCCGAGCUUGAUCCCUACCUCAUCCGCCUCGCGUUUAUGUCCGCCGCUUCCCUGCCGUUGCCCUUCUCGGAGAGCCCUGUCGUCGUCGUCCUGCGUAUGUCCCGAUCGGAUCAAAAGCGCGGCCGCUCGAUCUGCAGCCGAACAUGAAGGGCACACAAAGAUCGAACCGUUUUUUCUCCCUCACCAAGGACUGCGGGUUGAUUAUCAUAAAAUAGAAGGGUUUUUCUGCAAAAAUGCCACGACGGAAAACCAGAAAUCCAAUUUGUUUUAUUAUUAGGGAGAGAUUCCACCGGUUUAGAAUACAGACCUCCACGCAUCGUUUUGUGGAUUAGGCAAAUGUAGUACCAAUGUUGGGCAUUGCCAGACCAGCUUUAAUCUAAAACGAAUUAUCAA